This 405-nucleotide ribosomal RNA is filed under the name uncultured bacterium. RNAcentral describes it as "partial 16S ribosomal RNA". It matches the Rfam family "Bacterial small subunit ribosomal RNA", at positions 29 to 525 of the family's 1533-position model. The record is from RNAcentral.
AUUGAACGCUGGCGGCAGGCCUAACACAUGCAAGUCGAACGAGUGGCGGACGGGUGAGUAAUGUCUGGGAAACUGCCUGAUGGAGGGGGAUAACUACUGGAAACGGUAGCUAAUACCGCAUACCAUCGGAUGUGCCCAGAUGGGAUUAGCUAGUCGGUGGGGUAACGGCUCACCUAGGCGACGAUCCCUAGCUGGUCUGAGAGGAUGACCAGCAACACGGGAACGGAGACACGGUCCAGACUCCGAGGGGGGGCAGCAGGGGGGAAUAUUGAACAAGGGGCGCAAGCCUGAUGCAGCCAUGCCGGGUGUAUGAAGAGGGCCUUCGGGUUGUAAAGUACUUUCAGCGGGGAGGCGUUACCCGCAGAAGAAGCACCGGCUAACUCCGUGCCAGCAGCCGCGGUAAUU